Non-coding RNA from Chiloscyllium plagiosum (whitespotted bambooshark), 441 nucleotides. Lineage: Eukaryota; Metazoa; Chordata; Chondrichthyes; Orectolobiformes; Hemiscylliidae. The record is from RefSeq and is a predicted model, not a curated record.
CUGAGAGAAGAUUGGGAAGGGCUGAUUAAUAUUAUAAGCUUUCCAUAAUUUCAGGGGAGUGUAUGACCUACUUCCUGAUGUUUCACUAAACUUCAGGGUCAAUUUGAAUUCAAACUCACACAGCUACUUACAUUGUUAUUAUUUGGCUAUCAGUAUGUUGCAAGAUCUGGUUCCAACAACCUGUGCUUUGUUGUUGGGGUAGUUUGGGAAGCAGCCCUGGAGCAUUGCGCAGGCAGUGAAUCCGGUACGGAGACCAACAUCGCAGAGGCAGUCCUGGCAUUUACCUUGGAGCAGCUGAGUGCUGGUACGGUGUGGACUGAGGCUUGGGGCGGUGUGGGGAUGGCUGUUGGACUGGGGUCUGGUGCAGGUGGUCAGCCCUGCGCUGAGCUGCUACACUGUAAUGUCUAUUUGAAUUUUCCUACAUUACUGCAAUGUCAACCC